GCAAAGGUGAUGAAGGGGAAGAGUAGGCCCUAAAACGCCCAUCCCCAGAGAGGGGGUGCCGUGGCUGAAAGCAUCCCUGGAGGGUAGGGACUGAAAACCACCCCGGAGCUGCCCUGCCGAACGCCGCCGGGAGCGGUUACUAAGCGGGGCCGGUGAGGUGCCGUUAUCGCCUUUAAAGCGGGCGGGCCGGUAUAUUGCUUUUGUCCGGCUGCCAAGCAGGGUGGAACCGCGGAAUUUUUCGUCCCUGAA
RNAcentral lists this non-coding RNA (249 nucleotides) under Desulfofundulus kuznetsovii. RNAcentral describes it as "Desulfotomaculum kuznetsovii T-box sequence". It matches the Rfam family "T-box leader". From Rfam's summary of the family: Uncharged tRNA acts as the effector for transcription antitermination of genes in the T-box leader family. T-boxes are found upstream of many aminoacyl-tRNA synthetase genes and some amino acid biosynthetic genes usually in Gram-positive bacteria. The anticodon of a specific tRNA base pairs to a specifier sequence within the T-box motif, and the NCCA acceptor tail of the tRNA base pairs to a conserved bulge in the T-box antiterminator hairpin. Lineage: Bacteria; Bacillati; Bacillota; Clostridia; Eubacteriales; Peptococcaceae. The record is from RNAcentral.